UCCCUGAUCACAAUGGAACGAAAUUAGAAAUCAAUAGCAAGAGAAAAUUGGGGGAAACUCGUGAAAUACACUUCCAGUGGGUCAAAGAAGAAAUCAAAAUGGAAAUCAGAAAACACUUUGAGAUAAAUGAAAAUGAAGUUACCACACAGGAAUUUGCCCGUUAAUUACAGUGUGAGCGCCUGCUAUUUCCUGAUAGCCCUGUAGAUAGCACAGUUGGCGUAUUCCGCACUGGAGCUCUCUGCCAGAUUCCUGCCCAAUUACAAAUGAAUCGUAACGACAGAAAGAUGACAUGAUUUUAUAUUCCGGAGAACUGCAGGGAGAUCUGAGAAUGUCAGGUAAACAUGGAACCACGGGAUGGACUGCCACCUUCGGUCAAAGUCUUUGCAAAAGUAACUACUAAUUUUGAAGCAGAUGCUGUUGGCUUGGCCAGGAAGUUUGCAUUUUCUGCUAUCAGGGUGGCCACUGAUGUUCCCACU
Long non-coding RNA from Orcinus orca (killer whale), 476 nucleotides. RefSeq lists it as uncharacterized. The transcript is spliced from 3 exons. Lineage: Eukaryota; Metazoa; Chordata; Mammalia; Artiodactyla; Delphinidae. The record is from RefSeq and is a predicted model, not a curated record.